CACAAUGAUGUUAAAACCUGAUUUGAUUUUAUGUUAAAUAUGAAAUUAUUAUUUAUUUAUAUUCGUCACUACCUCUGAGU
Molecule: small nucleolar RNA, 80 nt
Filed under: Drosophila willistoni
Lineage: Eukaryota; Metazoa; Arthropoda; Insecta; Diptera; Drosophilidae
Description: snoRNA:GK26519
Source: RNAcentral